UACGAAGGGUGCAAGCGUUACUCGGAAUUACUGGGCGUAAAGCGUGCGUAGGUGGUUUGUUAAGUCUGAUGUGAAAGCCCUGGGCUCAACCUGGGAAUUGCAUUGGAUACUGGCAGGCUAGAGUCCGGAAGAGGAGAGUGGAAUUCCCGGUGUAGCGGUGAAAUGCGCAGAUAUCGGGAAGAACACCCGUGGCGAAGGCGGCUCUCUGGGACGGUACUGACGCUGAGACGCGAAAGCGUGGGGAGCGAACAGG
This 253-nucleotide ribosomal RNA is filed under the name uncultured bacterium. RNAcentral describes it as "partial 16S ribosomal RNA". It matches the Rfam family "Bacterial small subunit ribosomal RNA", at positions 524 to 776 of the family's 1533-position model. The record is from RNAcentral.